AUACGGAGGGUGCAAGCGUUACUCGGAUUCACUGGGCGUAAAGCGCGCGCAGGCGGCUAUUUAAGUUGGAUGUGAAAGCCUACGGCUCAACCGUAGAACUGCAUCCAAAACUAUUUAGCUAGAGUGGGGGAGAGAAGAUGGAAUUAGUUGUGUAGGGGUAAAAUCCGUAGAGAUAACUAGGAAUACCAAAAGCGAAGGCAAUCUUCUGGAACACUACUGACGCUGAGGCGCGAAAGCGUGGGGAGCAAACAGGAUUAGAAACCCGAGUAGUCC
Molecule: ribosomal RNA, 273 nt
Filed under: uncultured bacterium
Lineage: Bacteria
Description: partial 16S ribosomal RNA
Rfam family: Bacterial small subunit ribosomal RNA
Source: RNAcentral